Molecule: long non-coding RNA, 2274 nt
Filed under: Homo sapiens (human)
Lineage: Eukaryota; Metazoa; Chordata; Mammalia; Primates; Hominidae
Description: non-protein coding lnc-ID1-1:2
Source: RNAcentral
GAGGAGGGGGUUGGUCUUGGUGUCUCAGGGGUGGCAGAGGUAGAAAAAAAGUCCACGUUUAAGUGCACCUGCACAAUUGAAACCCGUGUUCAAGUUUCAAAUGUAUCUUAAGAUUUACUUAAUCGUUGUAACAACACUUUGAGGUACCUACAUCAUUCUUACGAUGGGGAAACUGAGGCAGAGACCGUAAGGGCGGGCCCAGGGGGCAUGUGAACCCAGAGUGUCUGGCUUCCAAGACUCGUAUUCACCGUGGUGCCGUUUGACAUGAUCAGGAUAAUGGAUCCCUGGUUCCUUUUGGGGGCAGCAUUGGAGAAGGGGGUUUGGCACCGUCAGUCUGACAGCAGGGCUGGCUCCUGCAGUGUGAAUGAAGCGGUCUUGUGCUCGACUGUGAAGGGGGGUUAGGACCUGCUUCCCAGGGCGGGUCCAGCUUUCUGAGGGAAAGCCUUCAGAGCCUCCAUCAGGCCGGCACCAGGUACCAGUUAAGCACUGGGCAGGGAACAGAAGUGGUCAAACGCCGCUUGCCGCGACUUGAAACUGCUGAAUAAAUGGAUAAUGUCAAGCGCUAUGGCUUAGGGCAGUAGUACCUCCGGUUCCUACGAUCGUGUCUGGGGUCCCUGAGGAGCAAGGCAAGAGUCGGCCAUUCAGGAGGUCAGAGUUCAGCUGUUCUUGCACAAGCAGGGAAGCUGAGUCACCCCAAACACGGGCAAGACUAGCGGUGGUAUCAAAUGGCUAUCAGGGGCGGGGCCUCAGGGGCCUGCCCCUGCCUCCCCGCCCUGCGUUUGGAUUCCCUCCAGCAUUCCGGGCCAGGGCGCGGGAGGCGGAGGCCGAGGAGAGGACGGGAGGAGGCUGCAUCCUGCCCUGGUGCGUCAGGAAGGGCCGAGCGAGCGGGAAGGAAAGCACCACCCCCCACCCCCGCCGCGGCCACACCUGGGUUCUCCAGGCGGGCAGGGGGGCCCCCGGGCCGGCGCCUGGCUCCAGCAAGUCUGGGCCGCCUCCCCGCGCCGCCCCGCGGGGGCCGCCAGAUGGGCUGCCCGCCCGCCAGCUCAGCGACGCAGGCAGGAAACGCCGGCCGGGCUGCCAGGAACGCGCGCAGGGGAGGGGGCGGGCCCGGCCGGGCCACGCCCGCCGGAGGGGAAGGAGGGGCCAAGCACCGCCCGGCGGGGACUGGUGAGCUCCAAGAGCCUGCGAUCCCGGUCCCUGCCUUUACUAGAUGGGUUUCCUUGGGUAGGUCGUUUUACUUCUCUGUGCCUCACUUUCCCUACCUGUAAAGCGGGGCUGCCUGUCUCCGCUCUUUUUCCCUUUUCUCUUUUAUUUGUGCAGCAGGGUUUCACUCUGUCGCCCAGGCUGAAGUGCAGUGGCGCGAUCACGGCCCACUGCAACCUCGACCUCCUGGGCUCAAGCGAUCCUCCCACCUCAGGUGGGAAUAUAGGUGUGUCCCACCACGCCUGGCUUUUUUUUUUUUCCCCUAGUUGAAACGGCGGUUCUCACUCUUGCUCAGGCUGGUCUCGAACUCAGGCUCAAGCAAUCUUCCCACCUCGGCCUCCCAAAGUGCUGGGAUUAGAGGCGUGAGCCACCGCGCCGUGCCUCAGCUAUUUUCGUGUGACCGUGUGAUCUCAGGACACUUUCUUUCCCUUCUCUUCCUUGGUUUUCUUACCUGAAAAAUGGGGUGAACAAUUGAACCUCCCUCAACCAUGGGCUAAGCCUUUGUUUUCCUCUCCACCGUAGCCCCAACACUUGGCCCAUUGCCUGAAACAUGAAGGCACUCAGUAUUUGUUGUAAGAGUGACUAUAAAGGUUUGGGACAAUCCUGAGGGCCUGGCUACAGCAGGCACUUCAUAAAUGGACACAAAUUAUCAAAUUACCUAGAGUCUAAUGUUUACCAACCUGCGGCUUCAGGCAAGUGACUUCCCAUCUCUGAGCUUCACUUUCCUCGUCUACAUAAUGGCUGUGAGGAUUAAGUAAAAUAAAUAAAUACAUGGAAAUCACACAUAGUGUGUUCUCAAUAGAUAUUUAUGGAAGAGUCUCCAAAAUAUUAAAAAAAGGGAGAUACUAUUUUGAGUAAAUUUGAGGGCAAGGAAUAUACAAAGGAGUUAGGUGGCUUGGAAGAAGAUUUUUGCUAUAUAUGUAAACUAAGCUGUGUGUGGGUGGGUAUUUUGCUUGUUGGUUUUUGAGACAGGCUCUCACUGUAGUCCAGGCUGGAGUGCAGUGUGGCAGUCAUAGCUCACUGUAACCUUGAACUCCUGCACUCAAGCCAUCCUCCCACUUCAGCCUCCUG